RNAcentral lists this ribosomal RNA (526 nucleotides) under uncultured bacterium. RNAcentral's name for it is "bacterial SSU rRNA". It matches the Rfam family "Bacterial small subunit ribosomal RNA", at positions 355 to 896 of the family's 1533-position model. The record is from RNAcentral.
UGGGGAAUAUUGCACAAUGGGGGAAACCCUGAUGCAGCGACGCCGCGUGCGGGAUGAAGGCCUUCGGGUUGUAAACCGCUUUCAGCAGGGACGAGGCGAAAGUGACGGUACCUGCAGAAGAAGCCCCGGCUAACUACGUGCCAGCAGCCGCGGUAAUACGUAGGGGGCAAGCGUUAUCCGGAUUCAUUGGGCGUAAAGCGCUCGUAGGCGGUCUGUUAGGUCGGGAGUUAAAUCCGGGGGCUCAACCCCCGUUCGCUCCCGAUACCGGCAGACUUGAGUUUGGUAGGGGAAGGUGGAAUUCCUAGUGUAGCGGUGGAAUGCGCAGAUAUUAGGAAGAACACCAGUGGCGAAGGCGGCCUUCUGGGCCAUAACUGACGCUGAGGAGCGAAAGCUAGGGGAGCAAACAGGAUUAGAUACCCUGGUAGUCCUAGCUGUAAACGAUGAUCACUGGGUGUGGGGAUGAAUAGUCUCUGUGCCGAAGCAAAAGCGAUAAGUGAUCCGCCUGGGGAGUACGUACGCAAGUAUG